CUUCGCCAAGCCAUCGCUCAAUGCCUUCAUGGCUCUCGGCCCGAAGGUCUGGCGCAGGACCCGCGCGCGGAUCAGCGAACUGCUGCGGCAUGACAAUCCGGAACUGCGCGACAAUGCGGAUCUGUGCAAGCGUGCGCUGGUUCCGCAGAAUUUCGCGGACAUGCACAUGCCGAUCGCCGUGCAGGGUUUCACCGAUUUCUAUUCGUCGAAGGAACACGCCACCAAUGUUGGCAUCAUGUUCCGCGGCAAGGACAACGCCCUGAUGCCGAACUGGCUGUCGAUGCCCAUCGGCUACAACGGCCGCG
Molecule: unclassified non-coding RNA, 305 nt
Filed under: Hevea brasiliensis (rubber tree)
Lineage: Eukaryota; Viridiplantae; Streptophyta; Magnoliopsida; Malpighiales; Euphorbiaceae
Source: RNAcentral